Molecule: long non-coding RNA, 378 nt
Filed under: Nicotiana benthamiana
Lineage: Eukaryota; Viridiplantae; Streptophyta; Magnoliopsida; Solanales; Solanaceae
Description: long non-coding RNA (NBEN_LNC017909)
Source: RNAcentral
AAAGCUUCCAGAGCCUGAACUUCAGGAGGUUUUUGGUAUAUUUGAGGGAGUUCUGGAGGAGUAUUUUAUGACUAAAAAGUUUCAUGUGAAGUGUGAAUUUCUAAAAGAAGUUUUUAAAAGGCGACCUUGGAUUGGACAUCACCUUUUUGGAGUUUUGAGGGAGUUCUGGAGGAGUAUUUUAAGACUAAAAAGUUUCAAAUGAAGUGUGAAUUUCUAAAAGAAGUUUUUAAAAGGCGACCUUGGAUUGGACAUCACGUUUUUGGAGUUCUUUUGGAGAAAUGUGCUAGUGCAAAGCUACAGUUUCGGCAAAUUGAAGCUCUUGAACUGGUUAUUGAGAUCUUAAAAUCAAUUACUUCUGCAAACCCUGAUGACAGCAGC